GUAACCGCUGCAUUGCGAAUCUGCAAGUGCAGCCGCGACUUCGGCCGGUGUUCCCCAGGGAAAACAUAGGCGAGCGUGGCCGAAUUGCCGGAGCACGCACCGCUUUGCGGUAUCGCGGCGUCUUAUCGGAGGCGCAAAGGUCGCCGUU
RNAcentral lists this small RNA (148 nucleotides) under Sinorhizobium meliloti 2011. RNAcentral describes it as "putative ncRNA". The record is from RNAcentral. Lineage: Bacteria; Pseudomonadati; Pseudomonadota; Alphaproteobacteria; Hyphomicrobiales; Rhizobiaceae.